Paramisgurnus dabryanus is the source of this 2066-nucleotide long non-coding RNA. RefSeq lists it as uncharacterized. The record is from RefSeq and is a predicted model, not a curated record. Lineage: Eukaryota; Metazoa; Chordata; Actinopteri; Cypriniformes; Cobitidae.
UGAAGUGUGAUUGGAGGCUGUGUGAGAGGGAGAUGAAUAAAUGGCUCUGCAAGAACACAAAGCAGGGGACUCAGACACGAGAGGCGAGUGACACGGGGAAGCUCCUUUGCCAAAGGCAGACAAAGACACGCACCUUUUGAAGAGCCCGAAGCUCUGUUGAUCCGGCGACCGCUGAAGCGGGCGGAAAGAGGACAGAGUCACAGAGGGUGAAAGGAAGGCAAGUCGUGGAUCUUUUAAAAAGGAGCACCCCGAAAUCGCUGAUGUUAUCCACUGUUGUGUUGAUCGAUGGAAAUGAGGACCUCGAAGACCUUAUAGGUGAAGUACUAGACGGACACUGACAUUGGUUGAGAGAAACGGAAGGAGAGGAGAACUUACCGCUGUGAGUAUAUAUCCGUGGGAAAAGUGGUGUUUGUGACUGGAAAGCGCCCUGUCUAGAUACCUGGAGUUACUAUUGGCAUGAAGACAACCUAGGACGAAGAAAGACAGAGAUCGUGAGUAAUCCAAAUCCCUUGAAGUGAGUGUUUAUAUAUAUUGGAUUGAUACAUUGUUUGAGUGCUCUCAAGAGAGACCGAGUGGCCCUACCCCUGUACCAGCGUGGUGGGUGAGCCGAAGGUUUCCGUGGGAAAGCAGCUACAGCAACGAUAGCAAAUAAACGCUAGGCCAUCUACCAUCUCCCUAUUCUCGCCCAGAGCGACGUGGAGGAAGACGGGUGUCUAUUGUGUGCACUGAGCGUGGUGGGGUGAGUCUUUGGAAGUUUUCACUUGAAGCGGUGCUGUGUAAUGCCGUGUAUUGCAGUGUGAGUGCUGUGUCCUGUUUGACGUAAUCCCGUUUCCAGUCACUCGUCCUGGGACGGUGAAGAGGAAAGAACGGCGCUAGAAAAAACCUGUAUAAUACUGCUGUAGUGUGCUUUCAGUUCCACAGAAUUACAGAGUGGCGGCGAAGAACGGUGCGAGUGGCAGCGUGUGUGAGUACUGCACCUACUAUUGUUACCUUACUUGUGUUUUGUUCAUCAUCACAGAGUAGAGGCAAGAGAGAUCCGCUGGCCCGAGGUCUCGGCGAAAGGGCGCCCCGGUCCAGUUUUCGAUCGACCAACGGGUCUCGAGGAACGGGCAGCGCUCGACCCGGUGUGCCGGCGUGGUUUUCUCGCCCCUCUGUUCAUCAACGAGUCCGCCGAGAGGGUCUUGGCCCCCGGCGUCCUAUUACAAAACAUUGCUAAAUCGCUGCAUUGCAGAAACCAGCCAGCGCAAGCUCGCGACCCGCCGUCUGUGGAGAGAAAGAGAGCCAACGUGAACACUGAGAUAUCGAGCUGUGGAGAGAGCCAUAUCUACCUAGAAGCUGUAACCAGCGCAGGGUGAGCAAACGUCUUGAGAACGAUUCACUGUGUCCCUGUGUCCCAGCAGCCGUCUGUGGAGAGAAAGAGAGCCAACGUGAACACUGAGAUAUCGAGCUGUGGAGAGAGCCCUAACUACCUAGAAGCUGUAAUCAGCGCAGAGGUGAGCAACGUCUUGAGAACGAUUCACUGUGUCCCUGUAUCCCAGCAGCUGUCUGUGGAGAGAAAGAGAGCCAACGUGAACACUGAGAUAUCGAGCUGUGGAGAGAGCCCUAACUACCUAGAAGCUGUAAUCAGCGCAGAGGUGAGCAACGUCUUGAGAACGAUUCACUGUGUCCCUGUAUCCCAGCAGUCGUCUGUGGAGAGAAAGAGAGCCAACGUGAGCACUGAGAUAUCGAGCUGUGGAGAGAGCCAUACCUACCUAGAAGCUGUAACCAGCGCAGAGGUGAGCGAACGUCUUAAGAACGAUUCACUGUGUCCCUGUAUCCUAGCAGCCGUCUGUGGAGAGAAAGAGAGCCAACGUGAACACUGAGAUAUUGAGCUAUGGAGAGAGCCAUACCUACCUAGAAGCUGUAACCAGCGCAGAGCAGCCGUCUGUGGAGAGAAAGAGAGCCAACGUGAACACUGAGAUAUUGAGCCGUGGAGGAGAGCCUAGAGUGGCCGUCAUUUAAGUUCCCCUUUCCCCUUCCCUAUUUAAUAUUUUUAAGUAAAUUAAAUAAAGUAUAUUUUAAUUUUA